CUACACUGGCGCCGCUUCGGUGCAUGCGUGCGAGAUGACGUCGCACGCGGUUAAACGGGAAGCAGGAAGCCGCCGAUACGGGCGCGCCAACCUGCGCUGCCCCCGCAACGGUAAGCGACCGCGUCGAUCGUGCCUCGGUCAUGACGCGAACCGCCCCUCGAGAUCGGCCGUCCCCGCUCGCGCGACGACGGAUGGCCGCGGCCACUGCGCGUCGUUGCGCGGGAAGGCGGGGCCGGUGGUCGCCAGCCCGGAUACCGGCCGGAGCGGGGAAGCGUGU
This 277-nucleotide non-coding RNA is filed under the name Burkholderia glumae. The record is from RNAcentral. Lineage: Bacteria; Pseudomonadati; Pseudomonadota; Betaproteobacteria; Burkholderiales; Burkholderiaceae.